AUGCUAAUACCGCAUACGUCCUACGGGAGAAAGCAGGGGAUCUUCGGACCUUGCGCUAAUAGAUGAGCCUAAGUCGGAUUAGCUAGUUGGUGGGGUAAAGGCCUACCAAGGCGACGAUCUGUAGCGGGUCUGAGAGGAUGAUCCGCCACACUGGGACUGAGACACGGCCCAGACUCCUACGGGAGGCAGCAGUGGGGAAUAUUGGACAAUGGGCGCAAGCCUGAUCCAGCCAUGCCGCGUGUGUGAAGAAGGCCUUAUGGUUGUAAAGCACUUUAAGCGAGGAGGAGGCUACUUUAGAUAAUACCUAGAGAUAGUGGACGUUACUCGCAGAAUAAGCACCGGCUAACUCUGUGCCAGCAGCCGCGGUAAUACAGAGGGUGCAAGCGUUAAUCGGAUUUACUGGGCGUAAAGCGCGCGUAGGCGGCUAAUUAAGUCAAAUGUGAAAUCCCCGAGCUUAACUUGGGAAUUGCAUUCGAUACUGGUUAGCUAGAGU
RNAcentral lists this ribosomal RNA (493 nucleotides) under Acinetobacter sp. Its description in RNAcentral is "bacterial SSU rRNA". It matches the Rfam family "Bacterial small subunit ribosomal RNA", at positions 160 to 647 of the family's 1533-position model. Lineage: Bacteria; Pseudomonadati; Pseudomonadota; Gammaproteobacteria; Moraxellales; Moraxellaceae. The record is from RNAcentral.